Molecule: long non-coding RNA, 1114 nt
Filed under: Equus caballus (horse)
Lineage: Eukaryota; Metazoa; Chordata; Mammalia; Perissodactyla; Equidae
Description: lncRNA (ENSECAG00000048011.1)
Source: RNAcentral
GUUUAAACAUUGACCUUCAAAGGAAAUGUAUUAUUUUUCACCAAGGGUCUGUGAAGCGCUGGUGAAGAUGACUCACUCAACAUGACUGGCAGUUAUUGGUAUCUGUCAGUUGGGAGUACAGUUGAUACUAUGAACUGCAGUAUCUACAUGUGGCCUUUUCAUGUGGCUCAGGAUUUUCAAAUCAUGGUGACUGGGUUCUUAGAAGGAGUAUACCAAGAGCAAGCAUUCCAAGAGACAAGAGUGGAAGAAGGUCUGGAUCUGUAAUUUGGCACAUCAUAAUUUCUGCAAUAUUCCAUAAGGCAAAGCAGCCACAGGAUCUGCCUAGAUUCAAGGGAAGAAGGAAGUUCCACCUUUUGAAGGGGGUCAUAAAAACUAUAGUCAUCUCCAUUUCCUUAAACCAAUAAGCAUUAAAUACUAAUAAUAGACAUCUUUUAUUAUUAUUGUUUAUUAUUUCCCUUAUUUCUCACUCAUCCUAAAAUCUUCACAUAACCCUAGGUCUUGAUUUUGUGCAUGAGGAAACUGAGGAUGAAAAUAGUUAUGUAAUUUGGUAAAAGUCACACAAUAAGAGUUCAAAGACAGAUAUGCCUUUGCCGUUUUAUUUCAUUAUCCUUUCACUCUUCCAUAAAAUUUACUAUGAUUCCCUUUACCUUCUCACAUCAAAGCUAAAUUCCUGUGUUUCUAACCCAUCCAUAAUCUGCCCUAUUCCUGCCUAUGCCAUCUUACACCUCUCAGCCUCCUCUGUACUCUCUUUUCCAUAAUGCCAUUGUUCCUCUUACCUGGGAUGCCUCCACCCUACCCCUCCAAUUUAAAUCCUACCAAUCAUUCUUGCUGUCCUUUUCUCUGAAUAUGUCCCUAACUAGAGCAAGGCAGAAUGACUUCCCCUCCUGUGGAGUUAAAGCAUAUUUCUUAUGUAGUGGCUCAUGGACUUCUUGUUUUCAUGCAUGUUAGUUUUAUCUUUCCAAGUGUAUUAUAAAUUUUUGUGGCUAUAAUCUAUGUCACCAAGUCUGAUAUUCCUUCUAAAUUCCUUAUACGUCCCACCCUCUAAGACUGGUUCACCAGAGAAUUGGCAAUAAACUACAUUAUGCUGCUGUAGUCAUGGUAGAGUCCACUGGAG